This 337-nucleotide unclassified non-coding RNA is filed under the name soil metagenome. RNAcentral describes it as "partial contains 5.8S ribosomal RNA, internal transcribed spacer 2, and large subunit ribosomal RNA". The stretch from base 1 to 120 matches the Rfam family "5.8S ribosomal RNA", at positions 35 to 154 of the family's 154-position model. The record is from RNAcentral.
GAUGAAGAACGUAGCGAAAUGCGAUAAGUAGUGUGAAUUGCAGAAUUCAGUGAAUCAUCGAAUCUUUGAACGCACAUUGCGCCCCUUGGUAUUCCAUGGGGCAUGCCUGUUCGAGCGUCAUUUGUACCUUCAAGCUCUGCUUGGUGUUGGGUGUUUGUCUCGCCUCUGCGCUUAGACUCGCCUCAAAACAAUUGGCAGCCGGCGUAUUGAUUUCGGAGCGCAGUACAUCUCGCGCUUUGCACUCAUAACGACGACGUCCAAAAGUACAUUUUUACACUCUUGACCUCGGAUCAGGUAGGGAUACCCGCUGAACUUAAGCAUAUCAAUAAGCGGAGGA